AUUUGUUGUGUUUCUCGCCUUGUAGGACUACCUUUUAGUGGAUUUUGCCACAUUCCCAGAUCUCAGCCCAGAUGUUACAACCACACCACCCUGAGAAUGCUGGAUCUUGUCCGAUCUCUGAAACUAUGCUGUAAGCUUUGAUCACUGUCCUGCUGCGCUGAUGGGAGACUGAGUCUAAAAAGAGCUAGGAUUCCCCGAGUAUGGAUGUGGACACCUUCAAAUUAAAGCUGAAGAUGUGUGUGGCUGUCCUGGAGGUCUGUUUUAAACCAGUCUGAUCUUCUGACAGUGAUGCAAGAUCUUGGCCACUAAUGUGGUGAGUACAACUUUACCAUAACC
Toxotes jaculatrix (banded archerfish) is the source of this 336-nucleotide long non-coding RNA. RefSeq lists it as uncharacterized. Lineage: Eukaryota; Metazoa; Chordata; Actinopteri; Toxotidae. The record is from RefSeq and is a predicted model, not a curated record. The transcript has 3 exons.